Molecule: transfer RNA, 73 nt
Filed under: Dipodomys ordii (Ord's kangaroo rat)
Lineage: Eukaryota; Metazoa; Chordata; Mammalia; Rodentia; Heteromyidae
Description: tRNA-Ala (AGC) (tRNA-Ala-AGC-13-1)
Rfam family: tRNA
About the family: Transfer RNA (tRNA) molecules are approximately 80 nucleotides in length. Their secondary structure includes four short double-helical elements and three loops (D, anti-codon, and T loops).
Source: RNAcentral
GAGGAUGUGGCUCAGUGGUAGAGUGCUUGCCUAGCAUGCAAGAGGCCCUGGGUUCAAUCCUCAGCACCUCACA